UGGGGAAUUUUGCACAAUGGGGGAAACCCUGAUGCAGCGACGCCGCGUGAUUUAGAAGGCCUUCGUGUUGUAAAAAUCUUUUCUAUGGGAAGAAAAUGACAGUACCAUAGGAAUAAGGACCGGCUAAUUACGUGCCAGCAGCCGCGGUAAUACGUAAGGUCCGAGCGUUGUCCGGAACCAUUGGGCGUAAAGGGUACGUAGGCGGGUAAGCAAGUUAGAAGUGAAAUCCUGUAGCUCAACUACAGUAAGCUUUUAAAACUGCUCAUCUUGAGAUAUGGAAGGGAAAGUGGAAUUCCUAGUGUAGCGGUGAAAUGCGCAGAUAUUAGGAGGAAUACCGGUGGCGAAGGCGACUUUCUGGCCAUAAUCUGACGCUGAGGUACGAAAGCGUGGGUAGCAAACAGG
This 402-nucleotide ribosomal RNA is filed under the name Bacteroidota bacterium. Its description in RNAcentral is "Bacteroidetes bacterium partial 16S ribosomal RNA". It matches the Rfam family "Bacterial small subunit ribosomal RNA", at positions 355 to 776 of the family's 1533-position model. The record is from RNAcentral. Lineage: Bacteria; Pseudomonadati; Bacteroidota.